This 280-nucleotide long non-coding RNA is filed under the name Linum usitatissimum (flax). Its description in RNAcentral is "long non-coding RNA (LUSI_LNC004183)". The record is from RNAcentral. Lineage: Eukaryota; Viridiplantae; Streptophyta; Magnoliopsida; Malpighiales; Linaceae.
GCAUUCUCCAUACACCACACAAAGCAUUCAAGACAUGUAGGCACUUUGGUCAUUAAAGUGGUGGAGUAAUCUUUCUCCAAAGGUUCUCAAGGUUUUACUCUUAUCUCUUGAGCCUAAGAAUAAGAGUGGUGAUGGUCUUAUCCUCGGGAGAGAUUUCGUGUAACCCAAGGCUUAAGGGUCGAAAUACUCUUUUCGGAAAGUGGUAUCCACGAUUCCGUCACGAUCCAAGAUCCCCCUAAGUUCUCUGGAACAUUGUUGUGCACGAAGUUCUCAACUUGGG